GCAGUACAGGGAAGACUAUCACAUGUGAGCUGGAAGACUGCCAACAUGGAGACACGGAGAGAGCAAGAUCUAUUUUAGAGUCAUUCACCGCCUGAAAGUGACAUCUGUUGGGCACAGAUGCAAGAAAGAACAAAUGCAAACUUCCAAAUGCUAAAACAUUGUGCACAAAGAUGUGGAGCCCAGAAUGCAAAGAAAAGGAAGCACAGGAGGAGUGCUGGACAGGGAUACAAUUCAAGGAACUUUCAAGGCACCAACCAACACGUGGUUGAAAUUCUAUGCUGCUUUUAAUUAAGCAGCAUUUCUUCCUACCUUUCUCUUUCUAAAUGUUCUAAUUUUGUUAUUUUGGUUACCCCUCCUUAAAUUCAACUUGAGAUGGAAUAGAUUCAGUCAUUGUGUUGUGAAGCGAAGGAUGCCUAUAUGGUUUCAGGAAGAAAAAGGAGGGCUUCUGUCAGAAUGCCUGAGAAGUUGUAGUUUGCUAGGAGAAGCUGUAAAAUAAUAUGACAAAACUUAUCCUUUUUUGUUAAAAAAGAACUCAAAACGCAGCACAACAGCAGCAAGAAGAAAAAAGGAACAUUGCUCUUAUACCAGAAGGAAACAACUGAAAAGACAAGGCACGCAAGGAGUUUGAACCCCAAAGUAUUACCAAGAAGUAGGAAACUCUACAGCAAUUCAUCACAGAAAGAAUGCUUUUUCACAAGAGCUUCCAUUUGCAUCGGACUAGACUAGAGCAUGUCGAGCCAUCAGAGGAUGCUUCACACCCCCCCCCCACUCUGCCUGCCAUGCCUUCACAUGUCUUACAAGCAUGAACUAUUCCCAAAAUUGAACUGUGCCCACAUACUUCCUUAUUUAUAAUGCAAGCUUUAAUGUACAAAUUAUAGAGUAAAAGGCACUAGAGUGUUCCCUUGA
This is a long non-coding RNA of Heteronotia binoei (common prickly gecko), 906 nucleotides long. RefSeq lists it as uncharacterized. The transcript is spliced from 2 exons. Lineage: Eukaryota; Metazoa; Chordata; Lepidosauria; Squamata; Gekkonidae. The record is from RefSeq and is a predicted model, not a curated record.